Molecule: ribosomal RNA, 479 nt
Filed under: uncultured organism
Description: partial 16S ribosomal RNA
Rfam family: Bacterial small subunit ribosomal RNA
Source: RNAcentral
CGUACACUCCUGCGGGAGGCAGCAGUGGGGAAUUUUGGACAAUGGGCGAAAGCCUGAUCCAGCCAUGCCGCGUGCAGGAUGAAGGCCUUCGGGUUGUAAACUGCUUUUGUACGGAACGAAACGGCCUUUUCUAAUAAAGAGGGCUAAUGACGGUACCGUAAGAAUAAGCACCGGCUAACUACGUGCCAGCAGCCGCGGUAAUACGUAGGGUGCAAGCGUUAAUCGGAAUUACUGGGCGUAAAGCGUGCGCAGGCGGUUAUGUAAGACAGUUGUGAAAUCCCCGGGCUCAACCUGGGAACUGCAUCUGUGACUGCAUAGCUAGAGUACGGUAGAGGGGGAUGGAAUUCCGCGUGUAGCAGUGAAAUGCGUAGAUAUGCGGAGGAACACCGAUGGCGAAGGCAAUCCCCUGGACCUGUACUGACGCUCAUGCACGAAAGCGUGGGGAGCAAACAGGAUUAGAUACCCGGGUAGUCCCAUGA